UCCUCAUCCAUCACAGCCCGGGCGGAUGGCAGAAGAUGAGAUCAUGUUGACUGGAUUGAGACGAGCGUCCUGGAAAACAGGAACACCCACCUCUGGAUGUGUCUCUGAAGGCGAUGAAACCGCACACCGUGUGCCAAGCGAUGCUCUGGAUGCUAGAGGGGAGACAUCAGGCAGAACUCUGAGGUGCUAGCAUGGAGCUGCCAGCAUCCUAACCGGAAGAGGGAUAGAGAGUGAUGGAGAAUUGCUCACAUAUCUGGUUCUUCUUCCUGAGUAUUACUCACUAACCCUAGAAGGAGAAAAACGUGAGUUCCCCAGUCAAGAUCAGAGCUGCUCUAUCAAAAGUGGGUGCAUGAACUCAAAAUAGCAUAAGAUACGAAGACAGGGCAUCUGAACUGCAAGUACUGGGUGGGGUGGACAAGAGUGUGACACCAGGGUGACACUGGGGAACCAUCGCUAUCAGCAAGUUGGCUCUGAACUCUGUCCUACCCAACGGCUCUUCUCUCUGCGCGGGAUCCACUGCGCAACUGCCAGUCCGUGAGUCAGAAAAGUUUACAACUUCCUUCCUCAAAAGGCUCCAAAAUAAACAGAGUAAACACCAGUCGGUCUCAGCUGGGUGCACGUUGGCCUGCCUGGAGGAGGGGAAUGCCAGAGACAGCUUCUGGAGGCCGCUCGCUCACAGCCCUGCACUUCUAGGAAAUAGACAAUUACCAACAACAUGGAUUUUAUUAUCGUGACAUCGCUAAGGUCUUUGCAUAAAGCCUAUAUUUAAAAAUAUAAACAUGUAAGUGAAAAAAAAUGUCAGGGGAAUAAAUAUUUGUCUUAAAAGAGA
Long non-coding RNA from Rattus rattus (black rat), 829 nucleotides. RefSeq lists it as uncharacterized. The record is from RefSeq and is a predicted model, not a curated record. The transcript is spliced from 4 exons. NCBI's taxonomy places the organism in Eukaryota, Metazoa, Chordata, Mammalia, Rodentia, Muridae.